Camellia sinensis is the source of this 1792-nucleotide non-coding RNA. NCBI's taxonomy places the organism in Eukaryota, Viridiplantae, Streptophyta, Magnoliopsida, Ericales, Theaceae. The record is from RefSeq and is a predicted model, not a curated record.
CUUUGUUCCUGUAGAAGAAGGAUGGUUCCUGUAAAAACACAUUGCCUCCAGGCUUAAGCACUUUGGCCAAUUCUGAUAGCCAUAGUUGGGUGUGAAAACCAGGCUUCUCUGAGACUCAAAUAAUAGUAGACAAUGAAGAUGACUUAAAAUAAAGGCUUCCUUCUGCACUAAAAAACAUAGAUACAAACAUUAUUAGAAGCAGAUUCCACAUUAUUACUAAAUCAAACAGACAUAACUUUGAAAUACAACUUCCACACGCACACACACACACACAACGAAACAAAAAACAAAAGAAAGAAGAGAAUAAAACAAAAAAUUGUGAAAUUCAAACCUUGGAAUUACAUGAUCACCUUUUAGGUCCACAUGGCAACCCAUGUAGAAGGCACAUCACCUCCUCUACUGAACUUGUUCUCAUGUGUCAGCCUCAUGAGGUGAAACAUGGACUGAUGGGAUCUCACCACGAGUAAAUCCUCCCUCCAUGAUAGCUUUCAUCUGCCCGAAGCUAACGUGCAAGUUACAUUAGUCUCAAGCCAAGGCAUUCUGAGGCAAUAUCCAAGGAGCCUCCUAGAGAGCUUAGUUUUCCUCUCUUGAUUGACUUGAGUUUUUGCCUAAGAAUGCCCAUCUUCACUUACGCCAAUAUGCUUGGACCUCCCUCGUUUUGGCCGAGUGAAUUUUUUGCUUGAGUGUACUCCUAUGAUGUACACUUCAUUUUCCAAUGGCACCAUGAUGCUCCCACACUUGCCUAAGUCGAAAGCAGAGCCUAGGGUUCCCUCAAGAAUGGUUGGAGUUCAGGGUUUGUCAAGGUGCUCAUCCCAUCUUCCCUCGAGGGACUAAUACCUUGAUUGGUCUUCCGAAAUAGAAAUAGCGAGAUCUUACAUAAAGACAGCUCUAGAUUAUGACAAACAUAUGUGGUGUGCUCCUACCCAACGAGCUUGCCCCAUUACUCUUACAACUGAGAACAUAUUGGUUUCACCAUCUCCACUACUACUAAUUGGGGUCGUUCCACUAAGAAAUGUUAGACCAUGUAGAGAGCCAGUCACUUGUCCCUCGACCACAUGCCUUCAGCACUUGUGAUAUACCGAGUUCCAUGGUUUGGCUACUCCUACAAAUAGUGAGCCUCCAUCUGCUUUGUCUCCUUGCAAGAAGCAAUCUCUCCCCAACCCCUAGGAUCUGGCUCUCCAUCUCCACUACCUCUAUUGUUGCUCUCUCCCUCACCUCCCAAGACCACCUCUACUGCUCACCCGGCCCAUCUUCAAUGAUCCAAUUACAUCAAUCGCCAUAGUAUUUCCCAUAAGGUUCCCUUUACCAGCUUACUUAUCUCCAACUGCCCACACACCUUAAAACACCUCAAUUUCCAAGCUUACAUAAGAAGCUAACCAUCCAUUUAGUUGCCAAGAUAUUUGAGGGAAAUAAUAGAAAAUUCUAAAACAAUUAGAACUGCAGCUAAUCCUCCCUUUGGUCUCCAAGCAACUUGGAUAACUCAAAGUAUUGCUAUCUUUCUUUCCAUUACGUUCACUGUUUUUUAAAAUUGAAAUCUGAUAUUUAAUUUUUUUUCUCCAAAAAAAAAUAAUCUACCCCAAGAGGAUAUAGUGAAGUGUAGGUUUUUCUUGACUCGGGCACUAAUCAUGUUCCCCUGAUUCUAAAUUUUAUAAUUUAUUUCCUUUUCCCAACUUUUCUUAGGAACCAAACAAGAUCAUAACACAUAAAGAUCAAAACCCUAUAGUCGAAUAAAUGAAUAGAACAGUGACAAAGAACUUGUAGAAAAUUGAAAUUAGUUUUUUUUUUUUUAAAA